This 301-nucleotide ribosomal RNA is filed under the name uncultured bacterium. RNAcentral describes it as "partial 16S ribosomal RNA". It matches the Rfam family "Bacterial small subunit ribosomal RNA", at positions 509 to 807 of the family's 1533-position model. The record is from RNAcentral.
CAGUAGCCACGGUAAUACAGAGGGUGCGAGCGUUAAUCGGAUUUACUGGGCGUAAAGCGUGCGUAGGCGGCUUCUUAAGUCGGAUGUGAAAUCCCUGAGCUUAACUUAGGAAUUGCAUUCGAUACUGGGAAGCUAGAGUAUGGGAGAGGAUGGUAGAAUUCCAGGUGUAGCGGUGAAAUGCGUAGAGAUCUGGAGGAAUACCGAUUGCGAAGGCAGCCAUCUGGCCUAAUACUGACGCUGAGGUACGAAAGCAUGGGGAGCAAACAGGAUUAGAUAUCCCCGUAGUCCCUGUCUCUUAUAC